This 2403-nucleotide long non-coding RNA is filed under the name Capsella grandiflora. RNAcentral's name for it is "long non-coding RNA (CGRA_LNC000542)". The record is from RNAcentral. Lineage: Eukaryota; Viridiplantae; Streptophyta; Magnoliopsida; Brassicales; Brassicaceae.
CAUCAUACAUCGCUCUCGACGGAUUUGAUUCUUCGAGUAAUUCUCAACGAACAGGUACUUUAUGAUCUCUUGCUUUGCUAAUCCUAUGAUCGUGUGGGUUUGGUUUCGAAUUUCGCAAUAUAUUGUGGUUUGGGUUUUAUUUUGAUUAUUGAUCGUUGGUUAGGGAUUUCUGAAUUUCAUAGCUAAAAAUUAUGAAAUAUCAAUAGGUAAAAUUAUCAAUAAGUCAUAGUUUAGCUUCUAGUAUAGAUUAAAGUAUUGAACUUUUUCAUUAUAUUGUUGUACUAAAUUGUACAAAUUAAGAUUUGGGUUUUUUAAUCCCCUUGGAGCCGUAUCCUUGGAACCUUUCUUGUAUUCCCAGGUAAACACUGAACACACAAACCUUAGAAUGACCAUAACAGCCAUGUGAUUAGACUUUUAAGUCACUUUACUAUAACUUCCUCAGACGUUAUGAAGAAACUGUCUUUGUUCAGAAUGUUGUGGCUCACUCAAAAUUUGGUCAUGUGUGCUACUUCGUAGAUUACUUGAUUUGUGAGUAUAAUGUCAGAAAGUGUUAGCCUUUUCACUACACAUGUAAUUUUUUUGGUGUUCUGCCAAUUUUUAGGACAUUGGUUCUAGGAUUUGUUGUAAAUUACUUUAUUAUUCUAGGUGCUGAAAGUUUCUCUUGUAGUAAUUCAUUGUCGAUUCAACUAGUUUUGUUUCUUGGGAAAGAUAGGCUCAGUGUUCUGAUGAUCUCUUGUACAUGUGAACAGGGUACUGUUGGACCUUCCAACAUUCAGAACACUAUUGGAUUGGAGACCAGUGGAGCAAAGCAAAUGGAAAAGGUUAGAUUUGGUGUUGUGUCUGUCAAUACUUAUUAUACUGUUUAACAUUCAUAACUGGCUCUUUUACGUUUCUGUGGUUGAGUCAAGAAAGAAGCUUUACAGUGAUUAUAAUUAGGAGAUACCUUAGAUUUACACUUCAGUUUAUGACUCUUCUUAUGAUGAGUUUAUGAAUAAAAAUUGGGUGGAUGUUGAUGGACGAAAUUACCAGUCCGUGUUACUCAUACAAAUGCCUCGGCUUAGUUUAAGACUCGUCUAACAAUGAGUCUCUAACUCAGAAAUAGAUUGUUGGUGGUGCAUGAAUGAAAACUUAUGUCCCGUGUUGCCUUUUCAAAUGCCUCGGCUCAGUUUUAGACUCUCCUCAUGUUGAGUUCUUCGAUAUAAAAUGAGGUAAUUUAAAUUACCUCUUUGACAGUCCCUUAUUGCCUAUUCAAAUGCCUCGGCUCAGUUUAUGACUCUUCUUAUGAUGAGUUUAUGAAUAAGAUAUGGGUGAAUGUUGGUGCACGAAACUACCAGUCCCGUGCUACUUAUACAAAUGCCUCGGCUCGGUUUUAGACUCUUCGAAUGAUGAGUCUCUAACUUAGAAACAGAUUGUUGUUGGUGCAUGAACGAGAAAUUAUGUCCCAUGUUGCCUAAUUAAUUGCCUCAGCUCGAUUUUAGACUCGUCUCAUGAUGAGUUCUUGGAUAUGAAGUUGGUAGAUGAAAUGAGGUAAUCUAAAUUACCUCUUUACCAGUCCCGUGUUACUUAUACAAAUGCCUCGGCUCGGGUUUUAGACUCUAAUAACGUUGAGUCUCUAAAUCAGAAACAGAGUGACGGUGGUGCAUGGCUAAGAAAUAAGUCCCGUGUUACUUAUACAAAUGCCUCGGCUAGGUUUUAGACUUUUCUAACGAUGAGUCUCUAAAUCAUAAACUGAUUGAUGGUGGUGCAUGACUGAGAAAUUAUGCCCCUUGUUACUUAUACAAAUGCUUCGGCUCGGUUUUAGACUCUUCUAACGAUGAGUCUCUAACUCAGAAACUGAUUUUUGGUGGUGCAUGUCUGAGAAAUCAGAAUGGAUUAAUGGUUGUGUAGAAAUACAUGGGAAAUCUGUUGUGUAUGUUAAAACAUUUGACUGAUCCUAAAUUUUAUGUUAAUGUUACACCACAAUCUUUGUUUCUAAUGAUUGUUAUUUUAAAUUUGCAGGUUAAAAAGAGAUUGAUCUGGACGUGGUUGAUUGAGGUGCUUCAUGAUAAUAUGUGUUUUACUGGUUAGUUCGUACAUUGAUAUAGUUAUUUAUUGAAGUUGAUUAUAUUAUCUCCUUUUGCUCAAAAGUUAUAGAUUCAUAUCUUUGUGUUGGACAGGAAAAGCUUGAUGAAACUGGAAGAUCAAAUGUGACUUAUGUAAUGGAUCUCAGCUUGUUUAUAUGCACUAAUGAGAAAACCAUACUACUAAAACAUGUAGCGUACGACUUGAUGAGGUAUUGAACUCGAUCUAAUGAUUCUUAGGUGAUGAUGGGUCUUGAUGCUUACAAAAAGCAAAAUCAAUAGGUAGAAUAUCAUGUUUGCAAUCAACUUGUAUUAGUCAUAUGUGUUCUUAUUUCAUCAAUAG